This 21639-nucleotide long non-coding RNA is filed under the name Capsicum annuum. Its description in RNAcentral is "long non-coding RNA (CANN_LNC011818)". The record is from RNAcentral. Lineage: Eukaryota; Viridiplantae; Streptophyta; Magnoliopsida; Solanales; Solanaceae.
CUUAGCUCAGAUAUUUCAAAGACAAUCCACAACAAAACAAUUUCAGUAAUAUAUAAAUAUACAUCGGGAGCCAUCAUGCUUCCCAUCUAUCAAAAUCAACCACGUUGUGGAUUUGUUUCACACUCGAGUUCAAAACAACUCCAUUAAGACCAAAAGGUCAAAUCAUUCAAAAUAUCUCAAAUAUUCAACAUCAACGUGCUUAUAACACACAACUUGGAAUCUUGAAUAAAUUUGCAGAAUUAAUGGUGAACUUUGGAGGUUCUUGAAGUUGGAUGUAGGAGCUUAGGGUUUUCUUUUUGAGGGAAUUUAAUGAAAUAUAACAUAUAAUGCUUCUAAUAGGCUUUAAUAUAGGAUUUGUAUGGAUUUUGAGCGAGGGGGGAUGACCAAAACACCCCUAAAAAUUAAAAAAAUUCUCGAAUCUGUCCUUUGGUGGACUGUUUUGAUAGUUUGAAGUAGAUCAACCAUAAUAUUUUACUCCGAUUUCUAAAUUGGAUGAAACCAAUUUCAUUAGAAAGAGGACUCUCAUAUAUUUCCGUUUAUAUAUAGUAUCUCAUCCUGAUCAUUGUGUACGAGUAGUUAUGAUCAUUUGAAGUUGAACCAAAAAUUUGCUUUUGAUAGGCUGAAGUAGAUCGACCAUAACGUUUUGCUCCGAUAGACAAAUUGGAUGAAACCAAUUUCAUUGGAAAGAGGACUCACAGAUAUUUCCGUUGAUAUAUAGUGGAUCACCCAUAUCAUUAUGUACAAGGAGUUAUGAUCAUUUAAAGUUGGAGCAAAAAUACGCCAGGCCUCAGUACUUUUUCCUGCAUGUUUUACUAUUAACGGUUCGAUCGGAAUGUCCAUAACUCGUCGCUCGAGUGUACAUUUUGGAUGAUCCACAUAUCGUUGGAAAUAUUAUUCGACACUCUAUGUAAUGGUCGGUCAUAAUCUAAGACAUUCUGCACGGAAAAUUUAUAAUUCAUUCUAGAAGAUAGAACCCAACACGUUUACGCACAAAAUUUCAAUGAAAAAUUUUCCGUAGUAUUACAUAAGUCCAUCUCUUUGAGGCGACUAAGAAUAGUUCAAGCUUUUAAUAGUAUGUUUGGAUGAUUGUUAACAAUGGUACUGUAUUGUUAGUUUAGAUAUCAUGUUUAUUUUGACUUUUACUGAAAUUUUAUUGUAUCUUAUCAGUAUGUUUCAUCAUUAGGUAAUGAUGAAAAGUUUCAUUUUAUGUAACGAUCUAUUUGGUGAGAUCGCAUUGUUACCUUAUUAUUUUUUCUCAUUUUGCCUAACUCAUAAGUUGAUAAUCAUAUUUUGGCCUUGUACCCUAGUUUUCUAGUAGGUUCAUCGCUUAAAUUAUUGAGGUAUGAUAUUAUGUAAUGAUAAAAAAUGGUACAAUUUAUCUGAAUGUAGUAUUCAUUAAAACAACAUAUAACAUAAUACGAUACAUUAUGAAACAAUAGUGGUUGUUCAGAUUCUUAGUAUGCAGUGUGCACUAUUAAUCAACUUAUAUUUUAUAGUUUAUUUGUUGUGUAGUUGUGUACAUGGUGUGACAUAAAAACUCUCAGUAAUGUCAAAUAUCAUACAUAAACAUACAUGUGCUAUGUAUCAAAUUAUAAAUAACAUAAUGUCUUCACAGUUUCUACCACCCAUAUACAUAACAUAGUUAUGUAUAUGGGUUGAAAUAACAACUUAUUUUGAUACAUGAUUUCAAAGUAUUUGACUCGGGUUGGAACUUCCCUUGUCUUUGACUUGGUGAUGAAAUUCCGUCAAUAGUCAUCCAAGUAUUUUCGAAAGAGGAGACAAACUUUUGAGAGUUUAUUUUUCACUCUAGGAUUUUUGUUUGUUUUGUUCUUGUAUGUGUCAAAGUGUAUAUUCCCUGGAAAUUUUGAAAUAAAGAAUCAAAAGAAAACUUUAUACUAAAAUGGAGAGAUUAAUAAAAGUUUGUAUAUUAUAGAGUUCUUGAUAAAGACAAAUGCUUCUCCCUUAGUCGAUUGAGAAGUGUCGAGGAAAAAAUAUAUAUUAAUGAUCAAAAAAUAGAAAUAGAUUAGAAAAUAAAUACCAGUCCAAAAUGAUAUAUUAGAUAAUUUGCUUCUUAAUUAUCCUCUCUUUGAGGUUCGUUUAUUUUAGGCACUCUUUGAGGAGUGUUAAUAGUAAGAAAAUGGUAGGUGAGAUAUGUAUAUGAAGUUUAGAGACAGGAAAUGUCAAAAAAAGAUUUUUGUAAUUACCUUUAAUAGUUGAAAUUUUAUGUAAUAAUAGAAACUUAGGUUGUAGUUUUAAGUAAUUUUUCCUAAUAAUUUUAAGUUAGACCUAACAAGAAGGAGAUAAUAUUAUAUGUUUAAUAUUGAAAAAAGAAUAAUAGAAAAAAUAAAUAAUACGAUAAUCAAAACAAAUAAAAUAACACAUAAUAAGAAAAUUAAAAAAUAAGAUAGUGCGUGAAUAAUAAUAAUAAUACUUUUAAGGGGUAUUAGACAACUAUGUAGGAAUAAAUUAUGGUAAAAAAGAUUCUCCACUUUUGUCCAGAAUUAACUUCAUCUUCUUCGACCAGAAAGCAAAAUUAACAUAGUGAAUUAACACAAAUAUCAACACGGCUAAUACUGUUACCUUUUUCAUUGCAAUGAAAAAUUAUUUGAUAUCAAAUAAUUAUCAAUUAUUUUAUUUUCAAUAUUUACAGUGAUAGUUUUUCAUUCAUUAUUCAUUAUUGUCACGACCCGAACCUGGGUCUGGCCAUGAUCAGUAUCUCAAGCCCACCGUGGGCUUGAGAUCAUCCCCCUAGCUAAAUCACCUGAGCACAAUAAUGUAAUUAUGAAAGCAAAAUCAAACAAUAAGAAUGAUAUAUAAACCAAUAGGAAGGUUCUAACAACCCAAAAAAAUAACCAACCUACACUUUGUCCACAAAACCUUUAAAACCAGAAUACCAACUUUGGUUGGGAUGUGCUUCCAACCAUGACAAUGGAACUCUUCAAUUCCCAAAAUUUGAAAAGAAACCUAAUGAAAUGGUAAAGUUUUAUGGAUGAUGGAGACUCACCACUUCACAAUAACUCAACCGAUAUCUGCUCCACCUAAAACUGCACAAGAGUAAACAAAGAACCCUAGGACCCUACAUCAUGAAAUGAUGUAGCAUCCAGGGGCGGUCAUUUCGAUAAGUACUGGCAUGUAACUCAGGAUAUGGAUAAAAUAAUGCCAUGUCCAAAACCAAUAAAAACCACAUGCACAUAUUCAUAUGUGUGUGUAUAUAGUGUCGGGGUAGGAUACAAGGUUAUAAACAUGAGAUUUAAAAAUUAUUAACCUGGACUGUAUAGCUCUAUCUUUCCUAAGGGCACCCACGGGCUAUAUGGGUUUAGCUCCUCCUGCUGAUCAGGCCCCAACACAUGUUAGUUGCACGAACCAAGGAAAUUUGAGGGUGGUCCAGAGACACCAAGGCUCCAACCAUCCAACCAAACACACACACACACACACAUAUAUAUAUAUAUAAUGUGUGAACUAUGCACACGGUCACCAAGACUUCCAUAUCGACAAUCUUGGUUUUCAGUAUUGAUCCCCCAAGGACAAACCUUCACGACGAGCUACAAAAACCCUUUUUUAAGACAAAAUUAAAAUCAUUUAGAAAAUAACUUAACCAUAAACCAAGGAGUCUUUUAUUAAAGUAUAUACCAUUGGUAUCAUCAUACCAAUUAUGUUUGCAAGCUAAAUCCAAUUAUGUCAGUACAGAACAAAUUAACCAAUUUGAUUCCUAAGUUUGAAUAUAAAACAAAACCAAGGCCAGCAAGACCCUUCAAAAAUUAUUUUUUAUGUUUAGUUAAUCUUUUACGCAAUGAAAGGGUCCAGGAGUGGGUUAAAUUGUGCAUAUAUCCAUUUUUCAAACCAAUUUCAGAAAGUAGGUUGAGGUUCAUGUAAAUUCUGUACCAAAUUCCAUAAUUUUGGGAUAACCCAUGUUCAUCAGUCCAAUUCCCAUACCCAUGCACUUAUUUAGUUAAAAAAACAUAAGAUAAAGAAUGAAUGACAUUCAAAACUAUGUGAAAACAUUCCAAGUAAUGACCAUUCAAAUCCCUCAACUCAAUUUAAAAACCCAACAAUUAACUUCACAUGGAUAAUAAUUAAGCACAUUCUUCUAUGUAAAAUCAAGUUAGGGAAGAGAGACAUGCCUGAAACAUCAAAUAAAUUGGAAGAAGAAUCACAAGUUGGAGCUUAGAUGUUUAAUCUCUUGAAAACCCUAACCUUUUCUUGUUUUGGGGAAUUUAAGAUGAGAGGAGUAUUAUUUUAUUUGAUGAUUGAUGUUAAAAGGGAUCCUUGAGAUGUUUUAAGUAAUGGGUAAAGUGUAAUGAAAGGAAAAGACCUAAAUUUCCUUAAUAAAAAACGUGUACGAAAAUAGCUCCUAGUCAUUACGGGUCGGGUAAUGACUCGUGGUGACUAGUCAAGAGUCGUUGCCAAUACUUGUGGUCUGGAAAGCAACUUAGGGAAACCAUAUUGUUAUGUUCAAGAGUCCCUCACCACAACUCGUGACCUUAUCCUAUGACUUAAGGAGGUCUAGUCAUGACCAGAUAGUAACCUGUGCACACUUCACUGGUGAGACUACGAGCCUCACACUAUGAUUUGUCACCUAAGUCAUAGUCUGGGCAGUAUCAUCAACACUUAAAAAAUUUUAGAGUCAAAGACCUGGUUAUUACAUACCCCCCUCCUGAAUCAUUCGUCCCUAAAUGAGGAGUUAGAUGCACCCUUUUUGCAUGAAAAUAAGAAUUAAUACACAUUCAACCAAACGACAAAAUUCAAAAUGCCACAAGAAGGAGAAUAAAAAUCAUACCUCAAGCAUUUCCAUCAAACACAAGGAACAAGAAUGGGUACUUGACCUUCAUAUCUUACUCAACAUUCCAUGUAACUUAUUCCACCUCUUGGUUCCUCCAAAGAACUUUCGCCGAAGCCACAUCCUUAGUUCUCAACCUUUGAACUUGCCUAUCUAAUAUUUACACCAGGAUUUCCUCAUAAGACAAGGAAUCUAAAAUACCCAUAUCCUCCAUAGGAACAAUCAAAUAAGGAUUACCUACACAUUUCUUCAACAUCGACACAUGGAACACAAGAUAAAUAGAAGUCAUACUCGCAGGAAACUCUAAUUCAUAAGCGAUAUUCACAACUCUUCUCACAAUCUAAUAAGGACCAACAUAACGAGAAGUGAGCUUUGCCUUAUUUCCAAAAAUCAUCAUUCCCUUCAUAAGAGAGACCUUCAAGAACACCCAAUUGUUAACCUCAAACUCCAACUCCCUUUGCCUCACAUCCGUGUAAGGCUUUUAGCUACUCUGAGCAGUCUUAAGUCUUUCUCUAAUCACCCUCACCUUCUCCUUGACUUGGUAAACCAAGUCUGGAACAAACAACAGUCUCACCAGCAUCAAAAUAUUCAAUAGGAGACCUACAUCUCCUACCAUAAAGAGCCUCAAAGAGUCAUCUGAAUACUCAAAUAAUAACUAUUAUUGUACGCAAAUUAAAUAAUAGGCAAUUGAUAUGCCCAACUACCUUUAAAAUCAAUAACACAGGACCUUAGCAUAUCCUCCAAAGUCUGUAUAGUCCAUUCUAUUUUCCCAUUCCUCUGAGGGUGGAAAGCGGUGCUAAGGUGUAACGCCCCGUAUUUUUGAGCUAGAAAUUGAACCGUCAUUACUACAUGUGUAAAUUCUAAUACCAUGAUUUAUAUUUGAAUAUAUGUGUCAUGAUCAUUAUCCUAGUAUUAAGAAUGUUUUUGAGGUGAAAAAUGUUCCUAGGAAUCACUUAGAGAAAAUUUGAUCUAAGAGCCUUUGCUUCUUCUAAACUUUUGUAUUCGAUUCUACAAGGAUCAACUUUGAAUAUGUAUAACUUUUGAUAUAUAUGGAAUUUUGCAGCUUAAUAGCUACCAAAUGAUAUAUAAUUGAGUUAGCCUUCCAAAAAUACUAGUUCGACUUAAUUUGAUACCUGAGCAAAAAGUUAUGAUCAUUUUUGUAAAAAAUAAUAAGUGGUUGUGGUAGCCCUACGUCACAAGGAUUAUUCCACUAGACUAGGGGUCGCAUCGUGAGGGAUACUUUACUGGAAUAAGGUUCAUGUUGCGAUGGCCAUUCCCAUGAGAAAAAUAGGCCAAGGGGUAAUUGGGUCCUUUCCCCUCAACCCCAAUUGUCCAAAACACAAUUUUUAAUAUUUCAAGGGGCAUUAUUUGCCCAUUACCUUAAAAUUACUCACUAGAAACACUUCCCCUUUCCCAUGAACAAAGUUCUAGCUUUUACUCUCAAGAAUACAUGGAUUUAAGUUCUGAAUACAAUAUAUAUUUUCAAGAGUUCAUUCAAUUAAGGUAUGUGGGGUAUUCAUCAAUGGGUUUCUUUCGCCCAUUGAGCCAAAAAACCCUCUCUUUGAUUUAAAGUAUGAACUUUUCCUUCAUUAUGAAAUUUUUCAUGUUUAAGAUGAGUUUAAUCCAUGAUUUUCCUUAGUAAUUAGAUGUUAAUCCAUGUCCUCCUAUGAUUCCAUGUAAAUUAGGUUACAUAAUGCUUUGAAUUUCAAUUUUCGAUGUAUAUUUAAAGUGAUUCCAUGUUAAAUUAUCCAAUUUAUGCAUUAAUCCAAGUGUUUAUAUUAGCUUUCUAUGUUUAACUCACUCCUAUGUUCCAACUCACGAAAUUCAUCAAUUUAACAAAAUGUCUUAUGUUUUGGGUUUUUGAACUGUGACAUUAUAUCACUAUUUUAUCAUUGUUAUCAAAGUUUGUAAUCAUUAUGUGUUGGCGGGUUUAGAACACCCAAUACUUAUGCAUUUUUACAUGUUUCUAUUUUUAAGUUACAAGUCAGUCAAACCAUGUUUUUAUUAAUUUAUUCAGACUAUUAUAUUCAUAUUGCACACUUAUCAGUAUAGUACCACAUCAUGUUGGACCCUAAUAAUACUAGUGUCAUUCAGUUGAGAGUAGGAUUUAGCACUGCGUGAAUCCAGGGAUGGGUGCUCACCUGCCUGUAGAGGGUGUGACCUUUAGUAGCAAUCCCUAAGCUAUAAAACUACGUAGCUAGCAUAGGUAUAGAAGGUCUUCCUUCCAGUAGAGGGUAGACACUCUUUUAGGGGCACCUUCCAGUAGAGAGUGAUUCCUUAGUCCUUUGGGACACCAGUUUAGUGGAUCCACACAACCAUAUGUUAGUAAUCAUAGAAAGGUACUGACACCCUUCCAACUAAGGUUACAGGUUGGACCCCGAUUAGCUCAUAUUAGGGCAUGCUGAUUACAUGAUAGCUCCUACAGUUUCAGUUAGUAUUCAGUUUAUCUCAGUUCAGGUUUGAUUGACCAAGUAAUCAUAUUAGAUUUCAGUAAUUAUUUAGUCAAUUUUAUAGAUUAUUCAUGUUAUUCAGAUCAUGUCAGUACAUGCUUUGCUUGGUCUUGUAUUAUUAAUUUUACAUAUCAAUGUUUUUCAUGAUCAAUAUCCAUACAUGACCCUCAGUUUAGUUUUACAACAUGUUCAACUUUACAUGAGAUUUACAUAUAGUAUUCAUAUUUUUACCGCUUCCCAUCUUCAGUUCUACUUAUUCUACAAAAGUAAAGAUUUUAAGAAACUAAGCGUAGUGAUUCACUAGCUCAUCAAAUUAUGUUUUUUACUCAUGUUUUAAGAUACUUCAGUUUUCAGUUUAUUUAAGUCACUUAGUGAGUCUACUUGCACUUAGCAUGCAUGUUUUAAGAUUAUGUAUGUAAUCAAUUUUACUUAUUGCAUUCACUCCCACUUACUCAAUACAUUCCAAAGUACUGAUGUACAUAUAUGUCUAUGUGCUACAUUGUCUCAUAAUAUAGUUACCAGUUGUAGCCCACACGUCAUAACCAGAUAGUUCAUAGCUUCCAGCCAACAGGUAAUGAGUUCUCUUAUUUUGGGGACUCUAGUCAGUUGUAGUUCAUGUACUAUAUUAUUAUUAUUCUUAUGUAUUUAUUUGUGGUAGUCAGAGGCAUGUCCCAGCCACUUAUAGUUAGUAUAGUAGAGGCUUCAUAGUCAGUUAGUCAGAGUCACUCAUGUAAUACAAGUUCUUCCUUCAGAUUUAUGGUGUUGUAAAUCUUUUUAGUAUCACAUGUAUUCAGAUUUUCUUACGAUUAUGCUUCCGUUCAGCAAAUUUAGCUUAUAUAGUUAAUUUAAUUUAGAUGCUCAAGUAUCAUGCUAGUUCAUGGGUUAGUUUGGUAUCACUUAUAGUUCUAAGAACUGUGUUACGACUAGGGGGUAGUCUCGGGUCGUGACAUAAGGUCACCUUAGUCCCCAACCUUUCUGAAAUAAAUGCCGAAAGUGAGAAUAAAAUUGCACAUCGAUCUAAAAUUAUGGACACUAGUUCUCCAUGAAACUUAACCAUCUCCUGUAUAAAUAACUUAGUGUAAUCCUCUCCAGAGUAAGUAGACCUCAUAGGCAAAAAGUGAGCAGAAUUAGUCAUCCUAUCCACAAUGACACAAAUCAAAUCAUAUUGGUUCCAAGACCGCAGAAAAACCUAUAGUAAAAUCCAUGUAAAUCAUCUCCCCACUUUCACAUAGGCAAAUCUAUCUUUUGAGAUAUGCCACCAUGCCCCAAGUGUUCUACCUUGACUUGCUGACAGACCAUACACUUAGCCACAAAAUUUUCUAUAUCUCUCUUCAUAUUGUUCCACCGAUUUUACUUUAAGUUAUGGUACAUCUUAGUUGAACUUGGAUGAACGAUAUAUCUAGACUCAUGAGCCUCAGUCAAAAUCCUUUCCCGCAACCCAUCAACAUCUGUAUGCAUAACCUUCUUUAAUACCUCUUAAUUCCAUCUCCCCCAAUCUCGAAUGCCAUAACUUUCUACUGACCCACAUCAUCCUUAAUCUACAUAAGUAUGGGAUCCAAAAUUUGGUUUGCCUUCACCUCAACACCAAGAGAUGAUUUUACCACCUUUUGUACAAUUACUGUCCCAUCCCUAGAGUCCUACAGACAAACUCCCAAGUUAGAUAACUGGUGAAUGCCCUUCACUAACCCUCACUUCUCCUCAUCCACGUGAGAUAAGUUCCCCGUCGAACACCUGGUAAGGGCAUCAACAACAACAUUAGCUUUAUCUGGAUGAUGGUCCAAACUCAUGUCAUAGUCCUUGAGUAACUCGAGCCACCGCCUCAACCUGAGAUUCAAUUCCUUUUGAGUGAACACGUACUGCAAACUCUUAUGAUCAGAAUAAAUGUCCACAUGCAACCCAUACAGAUAAUAGAACUAUAUUUUAAUGCAAAGACCAUAGCUGCUAACUCUAAAUCAUGAGUCAGGUAGUUCCUCUCAUGAACCUUAAGCUGCCUAGAAGUAUAAGUCAUAAUCCUUCUAUGUUGCAUCAAGACACAACCCAGUCCCACAUGAGACGUAUCACAAUAUACCACAAACCCAUCAGUACCCACGAUCAGGGUCAAAACUAAAGCAAAAGUUAACUUAUCCUUCAACUUCUCAAAACUACCCUCUCAAGCAUCAGACCACAAGAACUUCCUCUUUUUCUGAGUUAACGGAGUAGAAACAUAAGAAAAACUCUCCACAAAACUCCUAUAAUACCCAACCAACGCCAAGAAACUCUGAAUGUCAAUGAGAGUCGUGGGUCUAGGCCAUUUCUUAACUACCUCAACUUUAUGUAGAUCUACCUUAAUCCCCUCACUAAACACCACAUGCCCAAGAAAAGUCACGACAUUCAUCCAAAACUCACACUUAAAAAAUUUAGCUUACAACCUAUGAUCCUUAAAACUCUACAACACAAUUCAGAGGUGAUUGGCAUAAUCCUCCUCAAUCUUAGAAUAUACCAAGAUAUCAUCAAUGAAGACUAUCAUGAACAAAUCCAGAAACUGCCUAAAUACCCAAUUCAUAAGAUCCAUAAAAGUAGUUGUAGCAUUAUUUAACCUAAAUGACAUAACCAAAAACUCAUAAUGGCUACACCAGUACGGAAAUCAGUCUUGGGAAUACCAACCUUCCUAAUUUUCAACUGAUGAUACCCCAAACAAAGAACACUAUUAGAGAAGCAUCUAGCACCCUGAAGCUGGUUAAAAAUAUCUUCAGUCCUCGGAAGGAGAUACUUAUUCUUUACUGUGACUUCAUUCAACUUUCAAUAGUCUAUACACACUCAAAGGAUCCCAUCCUUCUUGCGUACGAAAUGCACCAGAGCACCCCAUGAGGAAACACUAGGACGAAUGAAACCCUUAUCUAUAAGAUCCAUAUAAAUGUUAAACAUCAUAGCCUUACAUUCUAAUACCAAGUCGCGGGAUAACCCAGAAGCAAACUUCUUCAUUUUAGGUUGCUAGAUAGAAACCAACUCUGGAGCAUAACGAGACAACUACUGAAAUUUCAUGGCAUACUCUUUCACACUCAUCUUACCCCACUUCAAAUUUACAUAAUCUUUAGCCUUAUCUUCCCUCAGCUCCUAAGGAAAGAAAUGAUCAGAAAAGACACCCAAAAGCUUAUCCCAUAAAGUCAGCUCUGCAUUAUCACUGCUCAACUGCUCCCACUCCUCAUACCACUAACAAUCUAUAUCUUUCCGCUAAUAUGUAGCAAACUUUACACCUUCAGAAUCUACAACAUGUAUUACUUUGAAAAUCUUCUCCAUAUUAUUCACAAACCCCUGAGGAUCUUCCUCAACCUUUGAUCUUGCAAAGAUUGGGGGAUUCAACCUCAUAAACUAGCCAACCCGAGUGACCUUAGAUGAAGAAGAAAUAGAACCAACAUGAUCUAACUGAUAAGACUGAGAUGUCACCAACUGAAUAAGCAAAUAAAUAGACCAAUGGAACUCCACAUUAGAGAUGUCUCCCUGAGGUGGAUGAUCAAAGGUGUCACCAUCUUGGGAGGCCAGAGAAGGACUAGUAAAGACUGGUGGAUCCAUAUAUGGCAUAGUACAAUCGGAAGUAGGUAUCCUAGAUUGGGUCUGCACUUUACAAACAGGGUGAGUUCCUCCGUAUUGUCCUCAAGUAGGAUAGAGGGUUUUGUGGAGUUUUUAUGAACAUCAGAUCUUUAGGAAGUCAUGAUCUAAAACAUGAUUAACUCGGGAGUUAGAGUUUUCAAGACACUAGAUUCUAUAGGCCAAACUAGAACACAAGAAAGGAAAACAUUCCUAAAUGCCUUGUGGCCUUCCCCUUAUAUUUGUGACGUGCUAAACACUCAUAAAAGGGACUUUACUCGAAACAACAUUAUGGAAACCUAAGAUCCUGAACUGUGCUCAAAUACCAAGCUUGUCAUGAUCCAAACAAAGGCCUUGCCAUAAUGGGUAUCUCAAGCCUAUCGUGGGAUAGAGACCACUCCCUUUCCUAACUAUCUGAGAACAAUAAAGUUAGAGCGGAAUCAAACCAAACAAUAAGAGUGAUAUAUAAACUAAUAGAAAGGUUCUAAGAAUCCCAAAAAAUAACCAACCCACACUUUGUCCACAAAGCCUCUAAAACCAGAUUACAAACUUAGGCUAGGAUAUACCUUUGAACAAGACAAUGGAACUCUUCAAUUCCCAAAAUCUAAAAAGAAGCCUAAUGAAAUAGUAAAGCUUUCUGGAUGAUAGAGGCUCACCAUUUCACGAUAACUCAAUCGAUAUCUGCUCAACCUAAGACUGCACAUGAGUAAACAAAGAACCCUAGGACCCUAUAUCAUGAAAUAAUAUAGCAUACAAAGACGAUCAGUGGGGUGAGGACUGACAUGUAACUCAGGGUAGGGAUAAAAUAAUGCUAUGUCCAAAACCAAUCAAAACCACAUGCACACAUUCAUAUGUAUAUAUAUAAUGUUGGGGGUAGGGUACAAGGUUAUAAACAUGAUAUUCAAAAUAAUUAACUUGAACUAUGUAGCUCUAUCCAUCCUUAGGUCACCCAUGGGCUAUAUGGGUUCAACUCCCUCUGUUAAUGUGUGAACUAUGAAUAUGGUCACCAAGACCCCCAUGCCGAUAAAUAUGGUUUCAAGUAUCGAUCCUCCUAGGACCUCCACCUUCAUGAUGGGAUACAUAACCCCCUUUUAAUCCCAAAUUAAAACUAUUUAGAAAACAAUCUCAACUAUAAAGCAAAGAGUCUUUUAUUAAGGCAUAUAUCGUUGGUAUUGUCAUACCAAUUAUACUUGCAAGCUAAAUCCAAUUAUGCUUGUCCAAACUCAAUUAACCAAUUUGACUCCCAAUUUAUAACUUAUAACCAAACCAUGGCCUCUAAGACCCCUCAAAAACCAUUUUUUAUGUUCCAUUAAUCUUUUGUGCAAUACAAGGUUCCAAGAGUGAGUUAAAUUGUGCAUAUAGCCAUUUUUCGAAACUAACUACACAAAGUGGGUUGAGGUUCAUGUAAAUUCCAUACCAAAUUCCAUAAAUUUAGGAAAACCCAUAUUCCGCAGUAUAAUUCCCAUACCCAUGAACUUAUGUAGUUCAAAAAACAUAAGAUAAAACAUGAAUGACAAGUUAAAAACCAUGGGAAAAUAAUCCAAGUAAUGACCAUUCAAAUCCCUCAACUCAAUUUCAAAAUCCAAUAAUUAACUUCCCAUUGAUAAUAAUUAAAUACAUUCUUCUAUAUAAAAUCAAGUUAAGGAAGAGAGACAUUCCUUAAAGACCAAAGAAAUUAGAAGAGGAAUCACAAAUUGGAGCUUAGAUGUUUAAUUUCUUGAAACCCCUAACCUCUUGUUUUGGGGAGUUUAAGAUAAGAGAAAUAGUAUUUGAUUUGAUGAUUGAUGUUAAAAGGGACCCUUGAGAUGUUUUAAGUCAUGGGUAAAGUGUAAAGAAAGGAAAAAGAUCUAAAUGCCCUUAAUGAAAAACAUGUAGGAAAAUAUCUCCUAGUCGUUAUGGGUUGGGUAAAGAAUCAUGGUGCCUAGUCAUGAGUCAUUGUCUAUACUCGUGGUCUGGGCAUCAACUCAGGGCAUCAAUAUUGUUAUGGUCGCAAGUCCCUCACCACGAAUCAUGACCUCACCCUAUGUCUUAAGGAGUCUGGUCGCGACCACGAUAGUUACCUGGGUAUACUUCAUUAGUGAGACUACAAGUAUCACCCUAUGACUUAUGACAAGUGAUAACAUCUCGUCACUUGAGUCAUAUUCUGGGAAGUUUCGUCAACACUUAAAAUUUUCGAAGUCCAAGACAUGGGGUAUUACAUUUACAUACACUAAAAAGGUUAUGUAACAUAUAACACUAUUUUUUUAUCAAUUGUCAGAUUCAUAAAGCUCAUUUCAUACUGUCAUGGUCCAAAUAGUGGUCCUAGAUGUGAUGGGUAUCCCAAACCAAUGAAGGCUUGAGAUGACCCUUUAGCAUUGUAUCAUAAGUAUAGUCAUAAUUAAAGCUAUGAAAGGAAGCCCAUAAAAAAGGAGUUCAGUACUUAAAUAAAGUAAUAUUUGUAUCUUAAUAACAAAAUCCAAACCAAUUACCCAACAACGUACGAAGCCUCUAACUUUAAGAAUACUCCUAAGUUGGGACAUGACUUUGACUAUGCCAUAAAAGCCAUAAAAUAAUUUAAUGGAAACAUAUGAGAAAUGAAUAAUAACCUUAUGGAUGAUUGAGGGAUCACCACUAAUCACUAGCUUUCUGAGAGAGAAUAUGAGUGCCCUGAUGCUGCAUAGAAUAAUUAGAAAAUUCUUCCAAACCUACAUCAUAAAAUGAUGUAGCAUACGGGGACAGUUAAUAUGGCGAGUACUAGAAUGCAACCCAAGGAAAGGGAUAAAGCAUUAAUUUAUAAAUCAUCCAUGAAGAUUAUUUUCAUGAUCCAUAAUAAUAAUUAUAGAACAAAAUAUAGGGGAUAAGGAACAUAAAUACAUGACUAUUUAAAAUUUAGUCUUGAACUAUGUAGCUUUUCAUCGACAUCCUGUAACCCAAGGGCUAUUAUGGGUCUAGAUUGCAAUACCCCAAAAAUUUUAAGCUCUAGAUCCCUCAAAAAAUAGGCCACUAUAUUAGCUUUCCAAUGCAAAAAGACUCGUCUUAAUCCAACAUUGUGGAAAAAAGUUAUAUAAGUUUUUCCAAAGUUCCAGUCAGCUGCCAGUGGCUAUGACUCAUGUGAUGACCCAUAAUAAACCUUAUGAGCAGUUAUAUUCUAAAAAUAAAUGACCUACAACUUUAUCCCAAUGACUACAAAUCCACCCAUAAUCAAUUUCUAAGAGUCGUUAGGAGGGACUCAUAGCCACAACAAUGUGUAACCAAGAAUUUAUCCCAGUGGUUAUGAGUCCAGAAUGCGACUCAUAGUAUAAAUUUAUGAGACGUUAUGUGGACUUGUAGCCUAAAAUGUGAAUGAUCCAAGAAUAAAUCAUCAAACUAUGACUCUACCUUACGACUCAUAGUCAGUCAUAACGAGUCAUCAGGGGAAAGUCAUAGUCAAACAAGAAAGGACUCAAACCUCAAAGUUUCAAGUUAUGACUUAGAUCAUAACUCGUGACCAGUCGUGAUGAGUCAUGAGGUUAGUCAUAACGACUAGAAUAGGAUUUUCCUAGAUGUUUUCUUAGGGAGUUUUAUAUCUUUUCCCACUCUUUUAAAAUCAUAACCCACAUAGUUUAGGCUUUCCAAAGGGUGGUAUAAAAUCCCUAAUUACAUGAUUAAUCAUAAUUUCACUCAGAGAAUUCAAAAAGAGGAAAUUUUCCUCUUUUCUCCAAGGAAACAAGGGUUCUUUAAGUUCAAGCUUGAUUUUAAGAAAUCACCCAAGGCUUCUACAUCUAGGUAUGUGGGAUAUUCAUAAAUGGAUGCCUUUCACCUAUUGAGUCCCAAAGUUUCCUAAGACUCUCAAGUUUAGUUUACUCUUUAUGCUUAGGGUUCCAUGUCAAUGAGGAAUUUUCUUGGAGUUACAGUUUAUCCUUGCAAUUGAACCAUGUGUACAUGCUAUUUUCUUAAGCUUAGCAUUUUUACAUACUCUGAAUCAUGAUUUCCCUUAGUUUAAUAAUAUAUUAUGUUUUUCGAUCUAUAAUCAUGAAAUUUCUUAUAAGUAUUCCAAUAUCAUUAUCAUGUUUAAUGUAUUCUUCCAUGUUGGUGGGUUAUGAUACCCCAAAACCUAGAUAUCCAUAUAUGUUAUAGUUGUUAGGUUACAAGUCAUUCAUGCCAUGCUUGUAUUUUUAAAUUCAUAAUAUUAUCAUGUUGAGAAUUUACCCAUUUUAAAUCAUGUUAGACUUUUAUCAGUAUCAGUGUUAGUUUAGUCGGGAGUAAAUAUUAGCACCGAGUGAAUCCAGGGAUGAAGUCUCAACUACUAAUCAAAGGUUGAGACCAUUAGUAGCAGUCUUUAUGUUCGAGAUCUACAUAGCCAGUGUAGGUCAUAAGAGGCCAACCUACCAGUAGAGUGUUGACACUCUCUUUGGGGUUACCUAUCAAUAGAGGGUUGACACCCCAAUACUUGGGAUAUCAGUCCAGUAGACCCACAUUACUAGUGUUGGUACCCUUGGUAAGGUGCUAACAUCCUUCUAACUAGGGUCACAAGUUGGACCCCGAUUAGCUUAAAUUUGGGCAUAUCAGUUUAAUGUUAGCUCCCGUAGUUUUAGUUUAGUAUUUAGACAUAUCAAUUUAGGUUUGCAUGAAAAAAUAUCCAUAUAUCAGUUAUUUAGAUCAUUUAAGUACAUGUUUAUGCUUAGUCUUGCAUUCGUUUUACAUGUUCAUGCAUUUAUGCUCAAUACCCAUAUGUAUACAAUCUAGUUCCUAUCUCGCAUACCAGUACAUUUAAAGUAUUGACGGCAUAUUCUCUUUUGCAUUAUGUUGUCUUAUAACAUAUGUUUAGACACUUAGUUCCUAGAUGUAUAUAGUCUAUUUCGGUGCCACUCAGCUGUAGUAUUAGUGAGUCCUCAUCAGUCGAGGACUAGUUAUGCUAUUAUUUAUUCAUCCCAAUAUAUCAUUUUAUGUUAUCUUAAUAGUCAGAUAUAGUUGGGGACAUGUCCUAACUCAUCAUGUUAGAGGAUUUCAAACAGUUUGAUAGUUAAUCACGUUGUCAGUGAUGUUUUAAGUUACAUUUGAUAUAACCUGGAUUUAAUUAUUUAGAUAUUUUAUUUAAAGACCUUCACCCAGUAUAUUUCUAACUUCUUUCAGUAUUUACAACUUGUGCCAAAUCAUGGGUUAGCUUGGAGUUGCUCGUGGCCUUAAGCAUCGUGUUAUGACUAGGGGUAGUCUCGGGUUGACAAACUUGGUAUUAGAGCACAAGUUUUAAUGUAUCCUAGGGUGUCUGGAAGCUGCAUUAAGUAGAGUCUUGUUCAUGGGUAUAAAGAGUGUCAUACUUAUGGGAGAGAGGCUACGUGAUAUUUUAGAAAAGUUUCCCUUCUUUCAGUAUUCAUGUCAUAUGAUGGAGUGCAAGCUCUAUUAAACUUCUUUUCCUAACUCAUUCUCUAUAUAUUUACAGAAGAUGCCUCCUAAAAAGGCAAAUAAAAGGAGAACUAGGGGCCAUCCUGCACCACUUAUUCUUGAAGACCCUCUGAAUAAGCAGGCCUCUCACACUGAAUUUAGGGAUGCUUUUACAACACCAACCCAAUCAAUGGCUGCUCAGAACAAUCAUCAAGCCGUUGCCCCAUCUAACUCUUUGCCGAUCAUGGUAGCAACCAGAAUUCAAUAUUUCACUCGAAUGAAUCCCUCAAUGUUCUCUGGAUCUAAGUUUGAGGAGGAUCCACAAGAGUUUCUAGACUGUGUACAGAAGGUGACUUAUAUUAAGGGUGUUACUCUGAGUAAAAGUGCUGAUUUAGUUACUUACUAAUUGCAAAGGUGGCUCACACCUGGUUUAAAUAGUGAAAUAAAGAUAGAGGAGCCAAUAUAGGGCCUGUGAAGUGGGAUGAGUUUGCUACAGCUUUGUUAGAAAAGUUUUUCCCACUGGAACUAAGAGAGUCUAAGGUGCAGAAAUUCAUAAAUUUAAAGUAAGGUAACAUGAGUAAGAAGGAGUAUUCACUCAAGUUCACCCAGUUAGCAAGGUAUGGUCCAACUAUGGUGACAGAUUCUAGGGCCAGGAUUAGUAAGUUUGUGUCUGGAGUUUCUGAAGAUAUUGUCAAGGAGUGCAGAACAACAAUGCUGAUUAAGGAGAUGGACCUCUCUAGAUUGAUGGUUCAUGCUCAGCAUAUUGAGAAGAAAAAGAUAAAGGAAAGGGAAAUAGAGAAUAAGAGGACCAAAAUAGGUAGUUUAAACUUUUCUCAGCAGAUAUCUGAUGGCCAGAAUCAUUCUCAACUCUACCAAAAAUCUUCAGCCCUAUACCCAUCCUCUGAUAGUACUCUAAUGCCUAUGUUCUGGUAGGACAAUCGUGACAGAGCACCAGGAUCUAAGACUCAGGGUAGCAUAAAUAGUGGCCACACUAACCCCAUCUAUAAGAGGUGUGGUAAGAACCACAAGGGUGAGUGGAUGGACAAUUGUGAUGCGUGUUUUGGGUGUGGCAAGCCAGGAUACAUAAUUAGGGAUUGUCCAUUGGUAGGCCAUAAGAGUAAAUAUUUUCAUUAAUCGGGUCAGGCUAACUUCUCUCCAAUCCCAAUAGAUCACCCGAAUCAGUAGGGCACAACCUCCAGUGCCAUCAAUGGAAAAUAUUAGAAUCAACUCUAUGUCUUUCAGACUCAACAGGAUCAGGAAUGUUUUUCUAAUAUGGUUACUGGUAUGUUACAAGUCUUUCACUUUCAUACGUAUGGAUUGUUAGACCCCAGAGCCAUACUUUCUUUUAUGACUCCCUAUAUAGUGGUGAAUCUUUGUGCUAGUCUCAAAUUCUUAGCAGAAUCCUUCUUAGUGUCUACUCUCGUUGGUGGUUCUAUUAUAGCCAAAUAGGUGUACAGAACUUGCCUAAUUAUAGUGUCAUAGAAAGUUACCUCAGUGGAUCUCAUAGAAUUAAAGAUGACCAAUUUUGAUAUCAUUCUUGGCAUGGAUUAGCUCCACUUUUUCUAUGCCUCAAUCGAUCGUAGAAAUAGGAGAGUCCUAUUUUAGUUUCCUAAUAAGCCAGUUAUUAAAUGGAGGGGUUGUACCUCCGUGCCUAUAGUUUGAUUUAUCUCCUACCUUAAGGUAAGAAAGAUGAUAUCCAAGGAUUGCAUAUAUCACCUUGAAUGAUUCAAGGACUCAAAAUUUAAGACUCCAAGUCUUGAAUCAAUUCCGACAGUUAAUGAGUUUUUGGAAGUAUUUCCUGAAGAUCUGCCCGGAGUUUCUACCAAGAGGGAGAUUGACUUUGGAAUAGAUCUUCUUCCAGACACCCAACCUACUUUAAUUCUACCUUAUAGAAUAGCUCAAAGAAUAGUUAAAAGAACUCUUAAAUAAGGCUUCAUCAGACCUAGUGUCUCUCCAUAGGGUCCAAAGUUCUCUUUGUGUGUAAGAAAUACGGUUUUUUUAGAAUGUGCAUGGACUACCUUCAACUGAACAAAGUCAUAAUCAAGAAUAAUAACCCUCUACUCGAGAUUGAUGACUUGUUUAACCAGCUUCAGGGUUCACAUUGCCUCUCUAAAAUAGAUCCCAGAUCAGGCUAUCAUUAACUCAAAGUAAGAGAAUGUGACAUUUUGAAGACAACCUUUAGAACUCGGUAUGGUCACUUUGAAUUCAUAGUUAUGAUUUUUGGACUAACAAAUGCUCCUGUAUCUUUUAUGGACUUGAUGAACAGGGUGUUCAAUCAAUACUUGGACAUGUUUGUCAUGGUCUUUAUAGAUGACAUCUUCGUCUAUUCUUGUAGUGAAGGUGAAUAUGCAGACCGUAUGAGGAUUGUAUUGCAGACCCUUAAGAAUCACUAGUUAUUUGCUAAGUUUAGCAAGUUUGAAUUCUUAUUGAAAUUAGUAUCUUUCCUAAGUUCUAUAAUUUCUAGUGAGGGUAUUCGCAGUUGAUCCUCAAACACCGAAGCAGUAAUAAAUUAGCCUAGACAAAUCUCUCCAUCAAAUAUCAGGAAUUUCGUGGGUUUAGCUAGUAACUCCAUAUGAUUUUUUGAAAAAUUUUAUUCUAUUAUUUCUCCCAUGUCCAAACUGACUUAGAAGAAAGUUAAAUUUUAGUGGUCAGAUUCUCGUGCGAAGAGUUUUUAGGAGUUGAUGACUUAAAUCAUUUCUGCUCCAGUAUUGACUCUACCAGAGGGUUUAGAUGGGUUCGUAGUAUAUUUUGAUACUUAAAAAGUUGGUCUUAGGUAUGUGUUGAUGCAGGAAGGCAAGGUUAUAGCGUAUGCCUCUAGAUAACUUAAAUCUCAUGAGAAGAACUACUCGACUCAUGAUCUUAAGUUGGCAGUAAUGGUAUUUGACUUAAAGAUUUGGAGGCACUAUCUUUAUAGGGUAUAUAUCGACGUAUUUAAUGAUCAUAAGAGUUUACAGUAUGUGUUUAAUUGAAAAGACCAAAAUCUUUGUCAGAGAUUGUGGCUGAAAUUGUUAGAAGACUAUGAUAUGAGUGUGUUGUACCACUCGAGUAAGGCCAAUGUUAUGGCUGGAUGCCCUUAGUAGAUUGUCUAUGGGGAUUUUUACUCACAUAGAGGAUGAUAAAAAAAGAGUUAGUUCAUGAGGUUCAUCAACUUGGUAGACUAGGAGUUCAGAUGGUUGAUUUAGUUGAAGGUAGUGUAUGGGUUCAGAAUAGUUCAGAGUCGUCUUUGGUUUUUGAGGUAAAAUAAAAGCAAAAUAGAGAUCCUAAUUUGGUUAAGCUGAAGGAAGCAGUUCGGAAUUAAAAGGUUAAGCUUUUCUCCUAAGGAGGAGAUAGUAUACUUCAUUGUCAAGGCAGGUUGUGCAUUUUGAAUAUGGAUGAUUUGAGGCAGCUUAUAUUAGUAUAGGUUCAUGGUUCACGAUUCACCAAGAAUCCACUAAUAUGUAUCGUGAUUUGCGGAAAGUCAAUUGGUAGAAUGUAUGAAGUAGGAUAUUGCAGAAUUCAUGUCUAAGUAUUCAAAUUAUCAGCAGGUUAAGGUUGAGCAUCAAAGACCUAGUGGUACACUUUACGAUUUCAGCAUCCCUACUUAUAAGUGGGAAGUGGUGAAUAUGGAUUUUGUUACAGAUUUGCCUUGUACGCGUCAUCAUCAUGAUUCUAUUUGGGUUAUUGUGGAUAGGAUGAUAAAGUUAGCCCAUUCUUUGUCAGUCCAUACUUCAUAUUCUGCUGAGGACUAUGCUACACUUUAUAUUAAGGAGUUGAUAAAAUGACAUGGAGUCUCAUUGACCAUUAUUUCAGAUAGUGGUACUCAGUUUACCUCUUAUUUUUGGAAGGAUUUUCAGAAGGGUCUUGGUACCCAGGUUCACCUUAGUACAACUUUUUGCCCUAGACAAAUGGUCAAGAAAAGAGGACCACUUAGAUGUUAGAGGACUUGUUGAGGUCUUGCUUUAUUGAUUUAAAAGGUAGUUGGGAUAACCACUUACGUUUGAUUGAAUUUGCCUAUAAUAACAACUAUCACUCUAGUAUUUAGAUGGCUCUAUUUGAGGUUUUUUAUGGCAGAAGGUGUAGGUCUCUUAUUGGUUGGUUUGAGAUUGGCGAAGCUGCUUUGAUAGGACCAGACUCAGUGUAUGAGGUAAUGGAGAAAGUUUAGUCAAUUCAAGAAAGGCUGAAGACAACCUAGAGUCGACAAAAAUCCAAUGAAGAUAUGAAGAGAAGGGAGGUUGAGUUUGAUACUGGUGUCUGGGUGUAUUUGAAAAUUUCACCCAUGAAAGAGGUGAAGAGUUUGGUAAAAAAGGGAAGCUCACUCCCCGCUAUGUUGGCUUAUAUAGGAUUUUGAGCUGUUUUAGGAAAAUAGACUAUGAGUUAAAGUUUCAUGCAAAGUUAGUAUCAGUGCAUUCAGUAUUUCAUGUCUCUAUGCUAAAGAAAUGCAUUGCUGGUCUAGCUUCAAUCAUUCCUUUAGAUAGUGUGGGCGUGAAAGAUAGCCUCUCCUAUGAAGAAUUCCUAGUUGAGAUCCUUGACCGUCAGAUUCGUAGGUUAAGGAAUAAAAAGUUGCCUUAGUAAAAGUUUUGUGAAGGAAUCAGUUAAUUGAAGGAGCUACUUGGGAAGUAGAAGUAGAUAUGUGAGCCAAGUAUCGCUAUCCUUUCUGUUUGAAUCCAUAUUCAGCUUAAGAUAAUGGUUUUUUUAAUUAAUUAAUUCUCUCAUUUUCUAUCUUAGAUAUCUAACCAUCCUCAUGUCAUAUCAUGCAUUCAUGAUUUCAAUUCAGAUCAUGCAUCAUGCUUUAGAUUCAAAUAGUUAGUCAUGAUUCAGCUGAUAAGUAUUCAACGUAUGAUCUCAGUUUCUCCUAAUAUCCCAGUUCGGACAGUUUCAUUCGGGGAUGAACGAUCCCAAGGGAGAGAUAUUUGUAAACACGUGAUUUUUGACCCUCCCCGAGUUUUAACUUAGUUUUCAGCAUCAAAUAUUUAUAUUUUUGUUCAAUAUUUAUUUUAUCUUUUAUUUCAUUUUAAUAAGUUUUAGUUUAAAAAUAAAUAAAUAAAUAAAUAAAGUUACAUUUUAGGAUAUAUUUUUUUAUUUUAAUAAUAAAUAUAUUUUUAAAAGAUAUGUUUUCUUUAGCUUAGAUUUUAAUUAAAAAAAAGUUACAAUUUUAAAUUUUUUCUUAAUUAUAUUUUAUUUUAGGCUAGCUAUAAAUUUUUCUUAUAUUAUCUUAUGUAUAAAAAAUAAUUAGUUAAUAUUUUAUUUAUUUAUUUAUUUUAAAUUUUAUUAUUAUUUAUUUUACAUAUAUUUUAAUUUGUUUUUAAAAAAUUAUCCUGAAACAAAAAACUACCCAUCUGCAACCCCUCCACACCUUAAAAUCCCUACCCCUCAAACUCCAAACCCCCCCCCCCCCCAACUCCCCACUCUCACUCCUACUGUAACUCCUUGAACUCAAACUUUUUUAUCCCCACUUUCUGUAAAGGAAAAAUUACAGAAAGUAGCAUAUCUAAGACUAUAAUUAUAAUAAAUAGCAACACUUUCUCAAAA